CAGCCGCCACGGUAAUGCGAAGGGUGCAAGCGUUACUCGGAAUUACUGGGCGUAAAGCGUGCGUAGGUGGUGGUUUAAGUCCGUUGUGAAAGCCCUGGGCUCAACCUGGGAAUUGCAGUGGAUACUGGGUCACUAGAGUGUGGUAGAGGAUAGUGGAAUUUCCGGUGUAGCAGUGAAAUGCGUAGAGAUCGGGAGGAACAUCAGUGGCGAAGGCGGCCAUCUGGGACAACACUGACGCUGAGGCACGAAAGCGUGGGGAGCAAACAGGAUUAGAUACCCCUGUAGUCCCUGUCUCUUAUAC
This 301-nucleotide ribosomal RNA is filed under the name uncultured bacterium. Its description in RNAcentral is "partial 16S ribosomal RNA". It matches the Rfam family "Bacterial small subunit ribosomal RNA", at positions 509 to 807 of the family's 1533-position model. The record is from RNAcentral.